GACGAACGCUGGCGGCGUGCUUAACACAUGCAAGUCGAACGGAAAGGCCCUGCUUGCAGGGUACUCGAGUGGCGAACGGGUGAGUAACACGUGGGUGAUCUGCCCUGCACUUCGGGAUAAGCCUGGGAAACUGGGUCUAAUACCGGAUAGGAGCCAUUUUUAGUGUGAUGGUUGGAAAGUUUUUUCGGUGUAGGAUGAGCUCGCGGCCUAUCAGCUUGUUGGUGGGGUAAUGGCCUACCAAGGCGGCGACGGGUAGCCGGCCUGAGAGGGUGGACGGCCACAUUGGGACUGAGAUACGGCCCAGACUCCUACGGGAGGCAGCAGUGGGGAAUAUUGCACAAUGGGCGCAAGCCUGAUGCAGCGGCGCCGCGUGGGGGAUGACGGCCUUCGUGUUGUAAACUCCUUUCGCUAGGGACGAAGCUUUUGUGACGGUACCUAGAUAAGAAGCACCGGCUAACUACGUG
Molecule: ribosomal RNA, 464 nt
Filed under: uncultured bacterium
Lineage: Bacteria
Description: partial 16S ribosomal RNA
Rfam family: Bacterial small subunit ribosomal RNA
Source: RNAcentral